This 468-nucleotide ribosomal RNA is filed under the name uncultured bacterium. RNAcentral's name for it is "partial 16S ribosomal RNA". It matches the Rfam family "Bacterial small subunit ribosomal RNA", at positions 28 to 507 of the family's 1533-position model. The record is from RNAcentral.
GACGAACGCUGGCGGCGUGCUUAACACAUGCAAGUCGAACGGAAAGGCCCUGCUUUUGUGGGGUGCUCGAGUGGCGAACGGGUGUGUAACACGUGAGUAACCUGCCCUUGACUUUGGGAUAACUUCAGGAAACUGGGGCUAAUAUCGGAUAGGAGCUCUUGCUGCAUGGUGGGGGUUGGAAAGUUUCGGCGGUGGGGGCUGGACUCGCGGCUUAUCAGCUUGUUGGUGGGGUAGUGGAUUACCAAGGCUUUGACGGGUAGCCGGCCUGAGCGGGUGACCGGCCGCAUUGGGACUGAGAUACGGCCCAGACUCCUACGGGAGGCAGCAGUGGGGAAUAUUGCACAAUGGGCGGAAGCCUGAUGCAGCAACGCCGCGUGCGGGAUGACGGCCUUCGGGUUGUAAACCGCUUUCGCCUGUGACGAAGCGUGAGUGACGGUAAUGGGUAAAGAAGCACCGGCUAACUACGUG